AGAGUUUGAUCCUGGCUCAGGAUGAACGCUGGCGGCGUGCCUAAUACAUGCAAGUCGAGCGAACGGACGAGAAGCUUGCUUCCCUGAUGUUGGCGGCGGACGGGUGAGUAACACGUGGAUAACCUACCUAUAAGACUGGGAUAACUUCGGGAAACCGGAGCUAAUACCGGAUAAUAUUUUGAACCGCAUGGUUCAAAAGUGAAAGGCGGUCUUGCUGUCACUUAUAGAUGGAUCCGCGCUGCAUUAGCUAGUUGGUAAGGUAACGGCUUACCAAGGCAACGAUGCAUAGCCGACCUGAGAGGGUGAUCGGCCACACUGGAACUGAGACACGGUCCAGACUCCUACGGGAGGCAGCAGUAGGGAAUCUUCCGCAAUGGGCGAAAGCCUGACGGAGCAACGCCGCGUGAGUGAUGAAGGUCUUCGGAUCGUAAAACUCUGUUAUUAGGGAAGAACAUAUGUGUAAGUAACUGUGCACAUCUUGACGGUACCUAAUCAGAAAGCCACGGCUAACUACGUGCCAGCAGCCGCGGUAAUACGUAGGUGGCAAGCGUUAUCCGGAAUUAUUGGGCGUAAAGCGCGCGUAGGCGGUUUUUUAAGUCUGAUGUGGAAGCCCACGGCUCAACCGUGGAGGGUCAUUGGAAACUGGAAAACUUGAGUGCAGAAGAGGAAAGUGGAAUUCCAUGUGUAGCGGUGAAAUGCGCAGAGAUAUGGAGGAACACCAGUGGCGAAGGCGACUUUCUGGUCUGUAACUGACGCUGAUGUGCGAAAGCGUGGGGAUCAAACAGGAUUAGAUACCCUGGUAGUCC
Molecule: ribosomal RNA, 806 nt
Filed under: uncultured bacterium
Lineage: Bacteria
Description: bacterial SSU rRNA
Rfam family: Bacterial small subunit ribosomal RNA
Source: RNAcentral